RNAcentral lists this ribosomal RNA (253 nucleotides) under uncultured bacterium. Its description in RNAcentral is "partial 16S ribosomal RNA". It matches the Rfam family "Bacterial small subunit ribosomal RNA", at positions 524 to 776 of the family's 1533-position model. The record is from RNAcentral.
UACGGAGGGGACUAGCGUUGUUCGGAAUUACUGGGCGUAAAGCGCACGUAGGCGGAUUUGUAAGUCAGGGGUGAAAUCCCGGGGCUCAACCUCGGAACUGCCUUUGAUACUGCAAAUCUCGAGUCCGGAAGAGGUGAGUGGAAUUCCUAGUAUAGAGGUGAAAUUCGUAGAUAUUAGGAAGAACACCAGUGGCGAAGGCGGCUCACUGGUCCGGUACUGACGCUGAGGUGCGAAAGCGUGGGGAGCAAACAGG